UGAAUCCUUCGGCUAUCCAUAA
RNAcentral lists this microRNA (22 nucleotides) under Solanum lycopersicum (tomato). RNAcentral's name for it is "sly-miR6027-3p". The record is from miRBase by way of RNAcentral. Lineage: Eukaryota; Viridiplantae; Streptophyta; Magnoliopsida; Solanales; Solanaceae. RNAcentral also lists the same sequence under 1 other name.